This is a small nuclear RNA of Jaculus jaculus (lesser Egyptian jerboa), 107 nucleotides long. The record is from RefSeq and is a predicted model, not a curated record. Lineage: Eukaryota; Metazoa; Chordata; Mammalia; Rodentia; Dipodidae.
GUGCUUGUUCCAGCCGCACAUAUACUAAAAUUGGGACGAUACAGAGCAGAUCAGCAUGGCCCCUGUGCAAGGAUGACAUGCAAAUUUGUGAGGUGGUCCAUAUUUUU